GCCGAUAUAGCUCAGUUGGUAGAGCAACACAUUCGUAACGUGUAGGUCGCCGGUUCGAGUCCGGCUCUCGGCU
This 73-nucleotide transfer RNA is filed under the name Mediterranea sp. (in: CFB group bacteria). Its description in RNAcentral is "Mediterranea sp. tRNA-Thr". It matches the Rfam family "tRNA". From Rfam's summary of the family: Transfer RNA (tRNA) molecules are approximately 80 nucleotides in length. The record is from RNAcentral. Lineage: Bacteria; Pseudomonadati; Bacteroidota; Bacteroidia; Bacteroidales; Bacteroidaceae.